Molecule: long non-coding RNA, 1673 nt
Filed under: Brassica napus (rape)
Lineage: Eukaryota; Viridiplantae; Streptophyta; Magnoliopsida; Brassicales; Brassicaceae
Description: long non-coding RNA (BNAP_LNC018259)
Source: RNAcentral
AAGAUGUUGGUCCCCGUUGAAACCAGCUUAUUAGGUCAUAGUGGGCUCAGAAGGCACCGGCCGGUAAUCCUUCCACCGUCGAAAGCGGGAGGUGGACGCUGCUCUGUGAAACCAGCCUCACGCAGUCUCCUCCGCUCUAAGAGUACCCGAACAACAAGCCUUCGCUCGAGCCCGAACCCUCAACUCCCGACUUGGAAUGGGCAGGCCAGUGAAUAGCCACCCCAAACCCGGCCUAAUGAGAUCGGCCCAAGAUUCCAACAUCUUGUUGUCUUCACUUGGAUUACAAGCCCGCGUUACCAAGCUCGACGUGCAGUAGUUGCGAAUUAAUCUUAUAUAUACAAUGGAGAAAAGUUUGUUUGUUCCGAUGUGGGACUUUUAAAAACUAAAAACAUCUCACUUCCAAUGACGCCGUUUACUAUUCUUCAGUUCACAGUCUACAAUGGUUCAGUUUCUGAUUCGUUUCUUUGCUAAAUCAAGGUAUGGUUUCUGAUAAACUCGGUACUCAUUGAGACGAUUCCCUGAUAUGUUAGAAGUUCAUUGGCUCUAUGCACGGCCUCCACAGAUCAUUGCGAAAUUUGGGAAGAACAAUAGAUACAGUUUUGUUUUUACAAAAACAUUGAGCAUAAUCGUGAAGUUGAUAUAGUUUUGGGUUUUGUGAAGUUGAUAUCUGUUAUUUGAUUGCUUGCAUAAUGCCACUGAGUUUUCUAUUAAGAUUCUGCGACGAGACAGUAAGUUACAAACAAAAUUUGGUGAGAACAAUAGUUAUAGGUACGGCGAAGCUGGAGAAGAGUGGGUGGAGAGGAGAGUUGGAAGUGGUGGAGGAAGAAGAGGAAGGACAUUGCUUCCAUAUCCAUAACGCUAACUCUGAAAAUGCUUUGAAGUUGAUGAAGACAUUUGUGGCGUUCAUAUCAUCAUCCUCUGUCGAAGAGUAGUAAUAUUUGUUUCUUGUUGCUCAAGUAUGGAAUUAAAAGAUAAUAUUAAAAUAUUUGAUGCCUCCCUUUGAUUAAGUUUAGGUCCAAUAAAUUACAUCAAGUUAGGUGAUACUGAUAUCUUAAUGCAUACAAAAUCUUAUGAAACUAAAGAGAUGUUAAUAGAAUAUCAUUAUCGUGAAGCUCGUCUCAGGCAUCAGCAUGGCCUGUUCUUGAAGAAACUUAUUCUGAGUUGAACACUUGCAACUUAUUAUUGACGUAUUCCUUCCUGAUUCAGAAAUCUACAAGGACCGCUCUAAAAAUCUCACAAAACAUUCUCGAACAUGUUAAAAAGUUGUUGUCUGCGAAUUUGGAUGCAAUCGCGGUGCCAGUGUAUGAAUCUGUUUAGUCAUGAAAACUUGGUGUUGAACUGCGCAGCCUAUGUUGAUGUCCUUUCUCGUGGUGAAAAAUAAAAAGAUGUUGGUCCCCGUUGAAACCAGCUUAUUAGGUCAUAGUGGGCUCAGAAGGCACCGGCCGGUAAUCCUUCCACCGUCGAAAGCGGGAGGUGGACGCUGCUCUGUGAAACCAGCCUCACGCAGUCUCCUCCGCUCUAAGAGUACCCGAACAACAAGCCUUCGCUCGAGCCCGAACCCUCAACUCCCGACUUGGAAUGGGCAGGCCAGUGAAUAGCCACCCCAAACCCGGCCUAAUGAGAUCGGCCCAAGAUUCCAACAUCUUGUUGUCUUCACUUGGAUUACAAGCCCG